This 492-nucleotide ribosomal RNA is filed under the name Latematium latifrons. RNAcentral describes it as "partial large subunit ribosomal RNA". Lineage: Eukaryota; Metazoa; Arthropoda; Insecta; Hemiptera; Issidae. The record is from RNAcentral.
AAAAACAUGUCCUAUUGUUUUUUUUUUAGGUCUGUCCUGCUCAGUGAUUUUUUUUAAAUAGCCGCAGUAUUUUAACUGUGCUAAGGUAGCAUAAUAAUUAGUCUUUUAAUUGGGGUCUGGAAUGAAUGGUUUGAUGAAAAAAGUUCUUUAUUAAUAAUAUUUUAAUUGAAUUUUGUUUUCUAGUAAAAAUUCUAGAAUUUUAAAGAGGGACGAUAAGACCCUAUAGAUCUUUACAAUUUUCUUCUUAAUAUUAUUUUUGUUGUUUUUUUUUAUAAGGGUAAAUUUGUUUUGUUGGGGUGACAUUUAAAAUUUUAAACUUUAGUUUUUUUUUACAUUUAUUUAUGAUUAUUUAGAUCCUUAUUUUUUGAUUUUAAGAAAAAGAUACCUUAGGGAUAACAGCGUUAUAUAUUUGGAGAGUUCUAAUCGAUAAAUAUGUUUGCGACCUCGAUGUUGGAUUAAAGUUAAUUUGUGGGGUAGGUUUUACAAAAUUAG